AGAGUUUGAUCCUGGCUCAGGAUGAACGCUAGCGGGAGGCCUAACACAUGCAAGCCGAGCGGUAGAGUCUCUUCGGAGACUUGAGAGCGGCGCACGGGUGCGGAACACGUGUGCAACCUGCCUUUAUCUGGGGAUAGCCUUUCGAAAGGAAGAUUAAUACCCCAUAAUAUAUUAGAUGGCAUCAUUUGAUAUUGAAAACUCCGGUGGAUAGAGAUGGGCACGCGCAAGAUUAGAUAGUUGGUGAGGUAACGGCUCACCAAGUCUGCGAUCUUUAGGGGGCCUGAGAGGGUGAUCCCCCACACUGGUACUGAGACACGGACCAGACUCCUACGGGAGGCAGCAGUGAGGAAUAUUGGACAAUGGGUGAGAGCCUGAUCCAGCCAUCCCGCGUGAAGGACGACGGCCCUAUGGGUUGUAAACUUCUUUUGUAUAGGGAUAAACCUAGAUACGUGUAUCUAGCUGAAGGUACUAUACGAAUAAGCACCGGCUAACUCCGUGCCAGCAGCCGCGGUAAUACGGAGGGUGCAAGCGUUAUCCGGAUUUAUUGGGUUUAAAGGGUCCGUAGGCGGAUCUGUAAGUCAGUGGUGAAAUCUCACAGCUUAACUGUGAAACUGCCAUUGAUACUGCAGGUCUUGAGUGUUGUUGAAGUAGCUGGAAUAAGUAGUGUAGCGGUGAAAUGCAUAGAUAUUACUUAGAACACCAAUUGCGAAGGCAGGUUACUAAGCAACAACUGACGCUGAUGGACGAAAGCGUGGGGAGCGAACAGGAUUAGAUACCCUGGUAGUCCACGCCGUAAACGAUGCUAACUCGUUUUUGGGCUUUCGGGUUCAGAGACUAAGCGAAAGUGAUAAGUUAGCCACCUGGGGAGUACGUUCGCAAGAAUGAAACUCAAAGGAAUUGACGGGGGCCCGCACAAGCGGUGGAUUAUGUGGUUUAAUUCGAUGAUACGCGAGGAACCUUACCAAGGCUUAAAUGGGAAAUGACAGGUUUAGAAAUAGACUUUUCUUCGGACAUUUUUCAAGGUGCUGCAUGGUUGUCGUCAGCUCGUGCCGUGAGGUGUUAGGUUAAGUCCUGCAACGAGCGCAACCCCUGUCACUAGUUGCCAUCAUUAAGUUGGGGACUCUAGUGAGACUGCCUACGCAAGUAGAGAGGAAGGUGGGGAUGACGUCAAAUCAUCACGGCCCUUACGCCUUGGGCCACACACGUAAUACAAUGGCCAGUACAGAGGGCAGCUACACAGCGAUGUGAUGCAAAUCUCGAAAGCUGGUCUCAGUUCGGAUUGGAGUCUGCAACUCGACUCUAUGAAGCUGGAAUCGCUAGUAAUCGCGCAUCAGCCAUGGCGCGGUGAAUACGUUCCCGGGCCUUGUACACACCGCCCGUCAAGCCAUGGAAGUCUGGGGUACCUGAAGUCGGUGACCGUAAAAGGAGCUGCCUAGGGUAAAACAGGUAACUAGGGCUAAGUCGUAACAAGGUAGCCGUACCGGAAGGUGCGGCUGGAACAUCU
RNAcentral lists this ribosomal RNA (1504 nucleotides) under Chryseobacterium jejuense. RNAcentral describes it as "bacterial SSU rRNA". It matches the Rfam family "Bacterial small subunit ribosomal RNA". The record is from RNAcentral. Lineage: Bacteria; Pseudomonadati; Bacteroidota; Flavobacteriia; Flavobacteriales; Weeksellaceae.